Molecule: ribosomal RNA, 505 nt
Filed under: uncultured bacterium
Lineage: Bacteria
Description: bacterial SSU rRNA
Rfam family: Bacterial small subunit ribosomal RNA
Source: RNAcentral
AGAGUUUGAUCCUGGCUCAGGAUGAACGCUAGCGGCAGGCUUAACACAUGCAAGUCGAGGGGCAGCGCGGAGUAGCAAUACUCUGGCGGCGACCGGCGAAAGGGUGAGUAACGCGUGAGCAACAUGCCCGGGACUGGGGGAUAGUCGAUGGAAACGUCGCGUAAUACCCCGUAACAUACGGAACCGCAUGAUUCUGUAUUGAGAGAUUUAUUGAUUCCGGAUUGGCUCGCGUACCAUUAGGUAGUUGGUAGGGUAACGGCCUACCAAGCCGACGAUGGUUAGGGGUUCUGAGAGGAAGGUCCCCACAUUGGAACUGAGACACGGUCCAGACUCCUACGGGAGGCAGCAGUGAGGGAAUAUUGGUCAAUGGCCGAGAGGCUGAACCAGCCAUGCCGCGUGCGGGAGGACGGCCCUAUGGGUUGUAAACCGCUUUGUCAGGGGCAAUAAGGGCCACGAGUGGCCUGAUGAGAGUACCUGGCGAAUAAGCAUCGGCUAACUCCGUGCC